GGAAUCUUAGACAAUGGGCGCAAGCCUGAUCUAGCCAUGCCGCGUGUGUGAUGAAGGCCUUAGGGUCGUAAAGCACUUUCGCCAGGGAUGAUAAUGACAGUACCUGGUAAAGAAACCCCGGCUAACUCCGUGCCAGCAGCCGCGGUAAUACGGAGGGGGUUAGCGUUGUUCGGAAUUACUGGGCGUAAAGCGUACGUAGGCGGAUCAGAAAGUUAGGGGUGAAAUCCCGAGGCUCAACCCCGGAACGGCCUCCAAAACUAUCAGUCUUGAGUUCGAGAGAGGUGGGUGGAAUUGCGAGUGUAGAGGUGAAAUUCGUAGAUAUUCGCAGGAACACCAGUGGCGAAGGCGGCUCACUGGCUCGAUACUGACGCUGAGGUGCGAAAGUGUGGGGAGCA
Molecule: ribosomal RNA, 395 nt
Filed under: uncultured bacterium
Lineage: Bacteria
Description: bacterial SSU rRNA
Rfam family: Bacterial small subunit ribosomal RNA
Source: RNAcentral